RNAcentral lists this transfer RNA (67 nucleotides) under Asymmetricata circumdata. Its description in RNAcentral is "tRNA-Asn". The record is from RNAcentral. Lineage: Eukaryota; Metazoa; Arthropoda; Insecta; Coleoptera; Lampyridae.
UUAAAUGAAACCAAAAAUUAGAGGUAAAUCACUGUUAAUGAUCAAAAUGAAUAAUAUUCCAUUUAAA